This 966-nucleotide ribosomal RNA is filed under the name uncultured Chloroflexota bacterium. RNAcentral's name for it is "bacterial SSU rRNA". It matches the Rfam family "Bacterial small subunit ribosomal RNA", at positions 56 to 1019 of the family's 1533-position model. Lineage: Bacteria; Bacillati; Chloroflexota. The record is from RNAcentral.
UGCAAGUCGAACGGGAAGCGGCGCUUAUCACUUCGGUGGUGUAGCGCUGUGGAGAGUGGCGAACGGGUGCGUAACACGUAGGUAACCUGCCCUGAAAGGGGGGAUAACCACGGGAAACUGUGGCUAAUACCGCAUAAUGUCGCCGUGACGGUGGUUGCGGUGAGGAAAGUUCAGGCGAUUUGGGAGGGGCCUGCGGUCGAUUAGCUGGUUGGUGGGGUAAAGGCCCACCAAGGCGAUGAUCGAUAGCUGUUCUGAGAGGAAGACCAGCCACACGGGAACUGAGACACGGUUCCGACUCCUACGGGGGGCAGCAGUGAGGAAUAUUGCGCAAUGGGGGGAACCCUGACGCAGCAACGCCGCGUGGAGGACGAAGGUUUUCGGAUUGUAAACUCCUUAACUGGGGGAAGAGAGAGGACGGUACCCCAGGACGAAGACACGGCUAACUAGGUGCCAGCAGCCGCGGUAAUACCUAGGUGUCGAGCGUUAUCCGGAAUUACUGGGCGUAAAGGGUGCGCAGGCGGCGAUACAAGUCUGGCGUGAAAGCUUCUGGCUUAACUGGGAGAGGACGUUAGAAACUGUAUGGCUAGAGUGAAUGAGAGGGGGGCGGAAAUCCCGGUGUAGUGGUGGAAUGCGUAGAUAUCGGGAAGAACACCAGAGGCGAAGGCGGCCUCCUGGCAUUUUACUGACGCUGAGGCACGAAAGCGUGGGUAGCGAACGGGAUUAGAUACCCCGGUAGUCCACGCUGUAAACGAUGUGAACGAGGUGUGGGCGGUGUAGAAGCCGUCUGUGCCGGAGCAAACGCGAUAAGUUCACCGCCUGGGGAGUACGGUCGCAAGGCUAAAACUCAAAGGAAUUGACGGGGGGCCCGCACAAGCAGCGGAGCGUGUGGUUUAAUUCGAUGCAACGCGAAGAACCUUACCUGGGCUUGACAUGUACGUAGUAGUGAAGGGAAACCGGAACGAGCCU